RNAcentral lists this ribosomal RNA (1446 nucleotides) under uncultured organism. Its description in RNAcentral is "SSU rRNA". It matches the Rfam family "Bacterial small subunit ribosomal RNA". The record is from RNAcentral.
GAACGCUAGCUACAGGCUUAACACAUGCAAGUCGAGGGGCAGCAUGGUCUUAGCUUGCUAAGGCCGAUGGCGACCGGCGCACGGGUGAGUAACACGUAUCCAACCUGCCGUCUACUCUUGGACAGCCUUCUGAAAGGAAGAUUAAUACAAGAUGGCAUCAUGAGUCCGCAUGUUCACAUGAUUAAAGGUAUUCCGGUAGACGAUGGGGAUGCGUUCCAUUAGAUAGUAGGCGGGGUAACGGCCCACCUAGUCUUCGAUGGAUAGGGGUUCUGAGAGGAAGGUCCCCCACAUUGGAACUGAGACACGGUCCAAACUCCUACGGGAGGCAGCAGUGAGGAAUAUUGGUCAAUGGGCGAGAGCCUGAACCAGCCAAGUAGCGUGAAGGAUGACUGCCCUAUGGGUUGUAAACUUCUUUUAUAAAGGAAUAAAGUCGGGUAUGCAUACCCGUUUGCAUGUACUUUAUGAAUAAGGAUCGGCUAACUCCGUGCCAGCAGCCGCGGUAAUACGGAGGAUCCGAGCGUUAUCCGGAUUUAUUGGGUUUAAAGGGAGCGUAGAUGGAUGUUUAAGUCAGUUGUGAAAGUUUGCGGCUCAACCGUAAAAUUGCAGUUGAUACUGGAUAUCUUGAGUGCAGUUGAGGCAGGCGGAGUUCGUGGUGUAGCGGUGAAAUGCUUAGAUAUCACGAAGAACUCCGAUUGCGAAGGCAGCCUGCUAAGCUGCAACUGACAUUGAGGCUCGAAAGUGUGGGUAUCAAACAGGAUUAGAUACCCUGGUAGUCCACACGGUAAACGAUGAAUACUCGCUGUUUGCGAUAUACAGCAAGCGGCCAAGCGAAAGCGUUAAGUAUUCCACCUGGGGAGUACGCCGGCAACGGUGAAACUCAAAGGAAUUGACGGGGGCCCGCACAAGCGGAGGAACAUGUGGUUUAAUUCGAUGAUACGCGAGGAACCUUACCCGGGCUUAAAUUGCAGAUGAAUUACGGUGAAAGCCGUAAGCCGCAAGGCAUCUGUGAAGGUGCUGCAUGGUUGUCGUCAGCUCGUGCCGUGAGGUGUCGGCUUAAGUGCCAUAACGAGCGCAACCCUUGUUGUCAGUUACUAACAGGUUCCGCUGAGGACUCUGACAAGACUGCCAUCGUAAGAUGUGAGGAAGGUGGGGAUGACGUCAAAUCAGCACGGCCCUUACGUCCGGGGCUACACACGUGUUACAAUGGGGGGGUACAGAGGGCCGCUACCACGCGAGUGGAUGCCAAUCCCAAAAACCUCUCUCAGUUCGGACUGGAGUCUGCAACCCGACUCCACGAAGCUGGAUUCGCUAGUAAUCGCGCAUCAGCCACGGCGCGGUGAAUACGUUCCCGGGCCUUGUACACACCGCCCGUCAAGCCAUGGGAGCCGGGGGUACCUGAAGUGCGUAACCGCGAGGAGCGCCCUAGGGUAAAACUGGUGACUGGGG